Molecule: ribosomal RNA, 198 nt
Filed under: uncultured bacterium
Lineage: Bacteria
Description: partial 16S ribosomal RNA
Rfam family: Bacterial small subunit ribosomal RNA
Source: RNAcentral
ACGCUCGACACCUACUGGAGGCAGCAGUGGGGAAUAUUGCACAAUGGGGGAAACCCUGAUGCAGCAACGCCGCGUGAAGGAAGACGGUUUUCGGAUUGUAAACUUCUGUUCUUAGUGAAGAUAGUGACGGUAGCUAAGGAGCAAGCCACGGCUAACUACGUGCCUGCAGCCGCGGUAAUCUGAGCGGGCUGGCAAGGC